GACGAACGCUGGCGGCGUGCCUAAUACAUGCAAGUAGAACGAGUUGCGCACGGGUGAGUAACGCGUAGGAAACUGCCUCAUAGCGGGGGAUAACUAUUGGAAACUAUAUCAAAUACCGCAUACAAUGAUAUAGACCUGCUUUGUAUUAGCUAGUUGUGGGGGUAAAGGCUCACCAAGGCAACGAUAAAUAGCCGACCUGAGAGGGGGAUCGGCCACACUGGGACUGAGACACGGCCCAGACUCCUACGGUAGGCAGCAGUGGGGAAUAUUGGACAAUGGGCGCAAGCCUGAUGCAGCCAUGCCGCGUGUAUGAAGAAGGCCUUCGGGUUGUAAAGUACUUUCAGCGGGGAGGCGUUACCCGCAGAAGAAGCACCGGCUAACUCCGUGCCAGCAGCCGCGGUAAUAC
RNAcentral lists this ribosomal RNA (406 nucleotides) under uncultured bacterium. RNAcentral describes it as "partial 16S ribosomal RNA". It matches the Rfam family "Bacterial small subunit ribosomal RNA", at positions 28 to 526 of the family's 1533-position model. The record is from RNAcentral.